Molecule: ribosomal RNA, 492 nt
Filed under: uncultured bacterium
Lineage: Bacteria
Description: partial 16S ribosomal RNA
Rfam family: Bacterial small subunit ribosomal RNA
Source: RNAcentral
AGUGAACGCUGGCGGUAUGCCUAACACAUGCAAGUCGAACGGCAGCACAGUAAGAGCUUGCUCUUACGGGUGGCGAGUGGCGGACGGGUGAGGAAUACAUCGUAAUCUACUUUUUCGUGGGGGAUAACGUAGGGAAACUUACGCUAAUACCGCAUACGACCUACGGUUGAAAGCAGGGGAUCUUCGGACCUUGCGCGAUUGAAUGAGCCGAUGUCGGAUUAGCUAGUUGGCGGGGUAAAGGCCCACCAAGGCGACGAUCCGUAGCUGGUCUGAGAGGAUGAUCAGCCACACUGGAACUGAGACACGGUCCAGACUCCUACGGGAGGCAGCAGUGGGGAAUAUUGGACAAUGGGCGCAAGCCUGAUCCAGCCAUACCGCGUGGGUGAAGAAGGCCUUCGGGUUGUAAAGCCCUUUUGUUGGGAAAGAAAAGCAGCAGGUUAAUACCCCGCUGUUCUGACGGUACCCAAAGAAUAAGCACCGGCUAACUUCGUG